GUCUACGACCAUACCACCCGGAAAACACCGGUUCUCGUCUGAUCACCGAAGUUAAGCCUGGUCGGGCGAAGUUAGUACUUGGAUGGGUGACCGCCUGGGAAUACUUCGUGUUAGACU
Molecule: ribosomal RNA, 117 nt
Filed under: Paramuricea clavata
Lineage: Eukaryota; Metazoa; Cnidaria; Anthozoa; Malacalcyonacea; Plexauridae
Source: RNAcentral